This is a small nucleolar RNA of Maniola jurtina (meadow brown), 115 nucleotides long. RefSeq annotates it as small nucleolar RNA U3. The transcript has a single exon. NCBI's taxonomy places the organism in Eukaryota, Metazoa, Arthropoda, Insecta, Lepidoptera, Nymphalidae. The record is from RefSeq and is a predicted model, not a curated record.
AAGACCUUAUUUCAUAGGAUCAUUUCUAUAGUAAGUUCUUCACAAGAUACACAAAUGUAGAGCCCAAUAUUAGUAUGGAUGAGUAAAUUAACUGUUUCCUGUCUUUUUGACUUAC